RNAcentral lists this ribosomal RNA (497 nucleotides) under uncultured bacterium. RNAcentral's name for it is "partial 16S ribosomal RNA". It matches the Rfam family "Bacterial small subunit ribosomal RNA", at positions 28 to 507 of the family's 1533-position model. The record is from RNAcentral.
GAUGAACGCUGGCGGCGUGCCUAAUACAUGCAAGUCGAGCGAACGGACGAGAAGCUUGUUGCUCUGACGUUAGCGGCGGACGGGUGAGUAACACGUGUAUAACCUCCUUAUAAGACUGGGAUAACUUCGGGAAACCGGAGCUAAUACCGGAUGAUAUUUUGAACCGCAUGGUUCAAAAGUGAAAGACGGUCUUGCUGUCACUUCUAGAUGGAUCCGCGCUGCAUUAGCUAGUUGGUAAGGUAACGGCUUACCAAGGCAACGAUGCAUAGCCGACCUGAGAGGGUGAUCGGCCACACUGGAACUGAGACACGGUCCAGACUCCUACGGGAGGCAGCAGUAGGGAAUCUUCCGCAAUGGGCGAGAGCCUGACGGAGCAACGCCGAGUGAGUGAUGGAGGUCUUCGGAUCGUAAAACUCUGUUAUUAGGGAAGAACAUAUGUGUAAGUAACUGUGCACAUCUUGACGGUACCUAAUCAGAAAGCCACGGCUAACUACGUG